AGCAGCCGCGGUAAUUCCAGCUCCAAUAGCGUAUAUUAAAGUUGUUGCAGUUAAAAAGCUCGUAGUUGAAUUUCGGGACCAAUUUGUUGGUCGUGCCUCGGUACGUACUGGUAUUAUUGGUUUCUCCCUUCUGAAGAACCUCGAUGUCAUUAAUUUGGUGUCGUGGGGAAUCAGGACUGUUACUUUGAAAAAAUUAGAGUGUUUAAAGCAGGCAUACGCUUGAAUACAUUAGCAUGGAAUAAUGAAAUAGGACGUUUGAUUCUAUUUUGUUGGUUUCUAGGAUCGACGUAAUGAUUAAUAGGGAUAGUUGGGGGCAUUAGUAUUCAAUUGUCAGAGGUGAAAUUCUUGGAUUUAUUGAAGACUAACUACUGCGAAAGCAUUUGCCAAGGAUGUUUUCAUUAAUCAAGACGAAAGUUAGGGGAUCGAAGACGAUCAGAUACCGUCGUAGUCUUAA
RNAcentral lists this ribosomal RNA (454 nucleotides) under uncultured Glomus. Its description in RNAcentral is "SSU rRNA". It matches the Rfam family "Eukaryotic small subunit ribosomal RNA", at positions 569 to 1029 of the family's 1831-position model. The record is from RNAcentral. Lineage: Eukaryota; Fungi; Glomeromycota; Glomeromycetes; Glomerales; Glomeraceae.